CCCGCUCAGAAACUACAAAGGAAGUUGACGGGGCCCGGCACAAGCGGUGGAGUAUGUGGUUUAAUUCGAUGCAACGCGAAGAACCUUACCUGGUCUUGACAUCCCGGAGACCCUUAGGAAACUAGGGGUGCUUCCAUCUGGAAGAAUCUGGAGACAGGUGCUGCAUGGCUGUCGUCAGCUCGUGUCGUGAGAUGUUGGGUUAAGUCCCGUAACGAGCGCAACCCUUGCCUUUAGUUGCCAGCAGUUCGGCUGGGCACUCUAAAGGGACUGCCGGUGUUAAACCGGAGGAAGGUGGGGAUGACGUCAAGUCCUCAUGGCCUUUAUGACCAGGGCUACACACGUACUACAAUGGCCGAUACAAAGGGCAGCGACACUGCGAGGUGAGGCCAAUCCCGUAAAAUCGGUCUCAGUCCGGAUUGGAGUCUGCAACUCGACUCCAUGAAGUUGGAAUCGCUAGUAAUCGUGGAUCAGCAUGCCACGGUGAAUACGUUCCCGGGCCUU
This 501-nucleotide ribosomal RNA is filed under the name uncultured Desulfobulbus sp. RNAcentral describes it as "bacterial SSU rRNA". It matches the Rfam family "Bacterial small subunit ribosomal RNA", at positions 903 to 1382 of the family's 1533-position model. Lineage: Bacteria; Pseudomonadati; Thermodesulfobacteriota; Desulfobulbia; Desulfobulbales; Desulfobulbaceae. The record is from RNAcentral.